Molecule: small nuclear RNA, 159 nt
Filed under: Colobus angolensis palliatus
Lineage: Eukaryota; Metazoa; Chordata; Mammalia; Primates; Cercopithecidae
Description: U1 spliceosomal RNA (ENSCANG00000020548.1)
Rfam family: U1 spliceosomal RNA
About the family: U1 is a small nuclear RNA (snRNA) component of the spliceosome (involved in pre-mRNA splicing).
Source: Rfam by way of RNAcentral
AUACUUACCUGGCAGGGGAGAUACCAUGAUCACGAAGGUGGUUUUCCCAGGGCGAGGCUUAUCCAUUGCACUCCGGAUGUGCUGACCCCUGCGAUUUCCCCAAAUGUGGGAAACUCGACUGCAUAAUUUGUGGUAGUGGGGGACUGCGUUCGCGCUUUA